This 322-nucleotide unclassified non-coding RNA is filed under the name Hevea brasiliensis (rubber tree). The record is from RNAcentral. Lineage: Eukaryota; Viridiplantae; Streptophyta; Magnoliopsida; Malpighiales; Euphorbiaceae.
CCUUCAACAGAUGUAUGUUUAGUUCUCAAAUCUUCAGAUUCUUCAAUUUCUUCUUCAACCUCAAGUUGUUUUUCAAAUUCAAGCUUCUCUUCUUAUUGCCUUGCUUUUUCAAAACUUUUUGCCUUUAUAUUUGCAAUACUUUUUAUUGUAUCCAACUAUCCUCUCAAAUGAAACAAAUGUGCUUCUUUCCAUGCUUCAAAUUCUUCAAGUUCUUUAUCCUUACCUUGUUGAUGAGUAUGUUAAAUGUGAUACUCAUUCAUAUAUUCUUCAAGUGCUUUCUCCCUAUAUUGUAAGAUUAGUUGAAUGUCUCAAUACUCAUCAA